GACGAACGCUGGCGGCGUGCCUAAUACAUGCAAGUUGAGCGCUGAAGGUUGGUACUUGUACCAACUGGAUGAGCAGCGAACGGGUGAGUAACGCGUGGGGAAUCUGCCUUUGAGCGGGGGACAACAUUUGGAAACGAAUGCUAAUACCGCAUAAAAACUUUAAACACAAGUUUUAAGUUUGAAAGAUGCAAUUGCAUCACUCAAAGAUGAUCCCGCGUUGUAUUAGCUAGUUGGUGAGGUAAAGGCUCACCAAGGCGAUGAUACAUAGCCGACCUGAGAGGGUGAUCGGCCACAUUGGGACUGAGACACGGCCCAAACUCCUACGGGAGGCAGCAGUAGGGAAUCUUCGGCAAUGGACGAAAGUCUGACCGAGCAACGCCGCGUGAGUGAAGAAAGUUUUCGGAUCGUAAAACUCUGUUGGUAGAGAAGAACGUUGGUGAGAGUGGAAAGCUCAUCAAGUGACGGUAACUACCCAGAAAGGGACGGCUAACUACGUG
This 497-nucleotide ribosomal RNA is filed under the name uncultured bacterium. Its description in RNAcentral is "partial 16S ribosomal RNA". It matches the Rfam family "Bacterial small subunit ribosomal RNA", at positions 28 to 507 of the family's 1533-position model. The record is from RNAcentral.